AACACAAUAAAUACAAAUAUAAAAUAUUAUAAAAAUUGGCGUUACGGGCAACAUGCUUAUGAUUGAUAUGUAUUUAAAAAAUAAAUAAAAUACAUAUAUCAAUCAAGAAAUUAAAUUCACAUUAUUCGAGCAUCUAUCGCUGCAACUGCAAUAGACGAUAGAGUGUAGAUGUAUAAAUGUGACUUCAAAUAACUUAGACCAUAAGGAGAAAGUUACGAGCCGCUUGAUUAUACAUCUAUCAGAAACAUAACUCGUAGAGUUUUGAAUGAAACCUCAAACAAUGUGAACUUAAUAGCAAAGAGAGCCUUUAAAAGAGAGUAUUGACAAGAGCUUGAAGCAUAAUUCGAAGAACACUUGUUACUUCGAAAUAUUAUACCUCUCUACGCGUGACAUGUUGAGCGCUGGCCCAUCCCAUGUCAAACAUAGGUAACUCAAGUAUAUUAAUACCUACUCUUAAAUUUUAUACCUGCAUGUUGAGCGCUGGCCCAGCCCAUGCUUAGAGGGUAUGGGCUCACUUUGCAACCUGAGACGGAUAACCUCGAGUGAAAAAAACAUUUGCACACUAAAACAUGUAUCCAAAAGAACUGUCAAAUGGACAAACAAAUGAUUCGUUCACCCGACGAGAGGGCUGCCUAGUUACCCGUUUUAUUCAGGGCUGCCUGAGAACUCAGGUAAUAAUUUUGUGACAAGUAAAGAAUGGGUAAAAUCCAUUAUUACAUUGCCCAAACGAAAUGUGUUACACAUACAUGCUGCCCUUGUAACGCAUUGAGUAUCCCCAAAAUUAUUCCGAGAUAGUGAUUGUGCUAAAAUAGUUAUGUGUACGGUAAAAAAA
Molecule: long non-coding RNA, 832 nt
Filed under: Mytilus galloprovincialis (Mediterranean mussel)
Lineage: Eukaryota; Metazoa; Mollusca; Bivalvia; Mytilida; Mytilidae
Source: RNAcentral